CCCUCCUACGGGAGGCAGCAGUGGGGAAUAUUGCACAAUGGGGGGAACCCUGAUGCAGCGACGCCGCGUGAGUGAAGAAGUAUUUCGGUAUGUAAAGCUCUAUCAGCAGGGAAGAAGAUGACGGUACCUGAGUAAGAAGCCCCGGCUAACUACGUGCCAGCAGCCGCGGUAAUACGUAGGGGGCAAGCGUUAUCCGGAUUUACUGGGUGUAAAGGGAGCGUAGACGGCGAAGAAAGUCUGAAGUGAAAGCACGC
Molecule: ribosomal RNA, 254 nt
Filed under: uncultured bacterium
Lineage: Bacteria
Description: partial 16S ribosomal RNA
Rfam family: Bacterial small subunit ribosomal RNA
Source: RNAcentral